Molecule: ribosomal RNA, 497 nt
Filed under: uncultured bacterium
Lineage: Bacteria
Description: partial 16S ribosomal RNA
Rfam family: Bacterial small subunit ribosomal RNA
Source: RNAcentral
GAUGAACGCUGGCGGCGUGCCUAAUACAUGCAAGUCGAGCGAACAGACGAGGAGCUUGCUCCUCUGACGUUAGCGGCGGACGGGUGAGUAACACGUGGAUAACCUACCUAUAAGACUGGGAUAACUUCGGGAAACCGGAGCUAAUACCGGAUAACAUGUUGAACCGCAUGGUUCAACAGUGAAAGACGGUCUUGCUGUCACUGAUAGAUGGAUCCGCGCCGCAUUAGCUAGUUGGUAAGGUAACGGCUUACCAAGGCAACGAUGCGUAGCCGACCUGAGAGGGUGAUCGGCCACACUGGAACUGAGACACGGUCCAGACUCCUACGGGAGGCAGCAGUAGGGAAUCUUCCGCAAUGGGCGAAAGCCUGACGGAGCAACGCCGCGUGAGUGAAGAAGGUCUUCGGAUCGUAAAACUCUGUUAUUAGGGAAGAACAAAUGUGUAAGUAACUAUGCACGUCUUGACGGUACCUAAUCAGAAAGCUACGGCUAACUACGUG